CCCACUGUGCCCGGGAUAACUUCUGGAAACGGAUGCUAAAACCGGAUAGGUAGCAGACAAGCAUUUGACUGCUAUUAAAGUGGCUAAGGCCAUGAACAUGGAUGGACCUGCGGUGCAUUAGCUAGUUGGUGAGGUAACGGCCCACCAAGGCGACGAUGCAUAGCCGGCCUGAGAGGGCGGACGGCCACAUUGGGACUGAGACACGGCCCAAACUCCUACGGGAGGCAGCAUG
Molecule: ribosomal RNA, 232 nt
Filed under: uncultured bacterium
Lineage: Bacteria
Description: partial 16S ribosomal RNA
Rfam family: Bacterial small subunit ribosomal RNA
Source: RNAcentral